RNAcentral lists this ribosomal RNA (486 nucleotides) under uncultured bacterium. RNAcentral describes it as "partial 16S ribosomal RNA". It matches the Rfam family "Bacterial small subunit ribosomal RNA", at positions 28 to 507 of the family's 1533-position model. The record is from RNAcentral.
AUUGAACGCUGGCGGCAUGCCUUACACAUGCAAGUCGAACGGCAGCACGGGUUCUUGCCCCUGGGGGCGAGUGGCACGGGGGUGUGUAGUACAGGGAAACGUGUCCUGGUGGGGGGUAGAGCCGGGCAAGACCGGUAUUUAUACCACAUGCGAUCUACGUGUGAGAGGGGGGCCGCUUCGCGCCUCGCGCUUUAAGGGUGCGCGAUGGCGGAUUAGCUAGUUGGUGGGGUAAAGGCCUACCAAGGCGACGAUCAGUAGCUGGUCUGAGAGGACGACCAGCCACACUGGGACUGAGACACGGCCCAGACUCCUACGGGAGGCAGCAGUGGGGAAUUUUGGACAAUGGGCGCAAGCCUGAUCCAGCAAUGCCGCGUGUGUGAAGAAGGCCUUCGGGUUGUAAACCACUUUUGUUCGGAAAGAAAUCCUUGGCGCUAAUACGGUCGGGGGAUGACGGUACCGGAAGAAUAAGCACCGGCUAACUACGUG